This 267-nucleotide ribosomal RNA is filed under the name uncultured bacterium. RNAcentral describes it as "partial 16S ribosomal RNA". It matches the Rfam family "Bacterial small subunit ribosomal RNA", at positions 1234 to 1500 of the family's 1533-position model. The record is from RNAcentral.
UUGGUACAAAGAGAAGCGAAGCGGUGACGUGGAGCAAACCUCAGAAAGCCAAUCUCAGUUCGGAUUGUAGGCUGCAACUCGCCUACAUGAAGUUGGAAUCGCUAGUAAUCGCGAAUCAGAAUGUCGCGGUGAAUACGUUCCCGGGUCUUGUACACACCGCCCGUCACACCACGAGAGUUUACAACACCCGAAGUCAGUGGCCUAACCGUAAGGAGGGAGCUGCCUAAGGUGGGGUAGAUGAUUGGGGUGAAGUCGUAACAAGGUACC